Molecule: ribosomal RNA, 348 nt
Filed under: Argas reflexus
Lineage: Eukaryota; Metazoa; Arthropoda; Arachnida; Ixodida; Argasidae
Description: partial small subunit ribosomal RNA
Source: RNAcentral
AUUAUUAUGGUGUAUAUAGAAAGAUUGUUAGUAUGUAAUAGUUGUGAAAGCAAAAGAUUUUGGCGGUAUUCUAAGCUUUUUAGAGGAAUUUGCUCUGUAAUUGAUGAGACACCAAUAUCUGACUUAGUUUUGUAAGGGCAGUUUGUAUAUCGCUAUUUUAAAAAUCAUAUUGUAUGAUGAUAAUGAUUGGAAUAAAUAUUUUUUAAUAUGUUAGGUCAAGAUGCAGCUUAUAACUAAGGUUGAAGUGAAUUACGGUUAUUUUUAUUAGGUUUAAUGAAAAGAAUUUUUAGGAUUUAAAAGUAAAAUAAAAUUAUAAUGUUUAUUUGAAUAAAGCUCUAGAAUAUGUAC